CAUGUUUGAUCGUCGCAAUCUCACUGCAAAUGGGAUUGGAUCACCCAUCCACAUAUUUGAGAAUCACAAGGCCGCUGUUCUUUGUGUACAUUGGUCUCCAGACAAAUCAUCCGUCUUUGGCAGUUUGGCAGAAGAUGGAGUCUUGAACAUCUGGGAUCAUAAUAAGAUUGGGGAACUUUCUGGUCC
Helianthus annuus (common sunflower) is the source of this 186-nucleotide long non-coding RNA. RefSeq lists it as uncharacterized. The transcript is spliced from 3 exons. The record is from RefSeq and is a predicted model, not a curated record. NCBI's taxonomy places the organism in Eukaryota, Viridiplantae, Streptophyta, Magnoliopsida, Asterales, Asteraceae.